UUAAUAAUUGCCACGAGGACUCGGACGGUAUACAUAGGGGGUUCGGUUAGGGCCCUGGCCCCCGGGGGGGCCGAGGCAAGAGGUGUCUCGUCAACAGGUGUGGGAGUGAGGACGCCCCGGGGGGCGCCGCGCUCGGUAAUGAUCCUUCCGCAGGUUCACCUACGGAAA
RNAcentral lists this unclassified non-coding RNA (168 nucleotides) under uncultured fungus. RNAcentral describes it as "sequence contains ITS1". The record is from RNAcentral. Lineage: Eukaryota; Fungi.